Molecule: ribosomal RNA, 453 nt
Filed under: uncultured bacterium
Lineage: Bacteria
Description: partial 16S ribosomal RNA
Rfam family: Bacterial small subunit ribosomal RNA
Source: RNAcentral
GAUGAACGCUGACAGAAUGCUUAACACAUGCAAGUCAACUUGAACUUCGGUUUGGGUGGCGGACGGGUGAGUAACGCGUAAAGAACUUGCCUCACAGAUAGGGACAACAUUUGGAAACGAAUGCUAAUACCUGAUAUUAUGAUUUUAGGGCAUCCUAGGAUUAUGAAAGCUAUAUGCGCUGUGAGAGAGCUUUGCGUCCCAUUAGCUAGUUGGAGAGGUAACGGCUCACCAAGGCGAUGAUGGGUAGCCGGCCUGAGAGGGUGAUCGGCCACAAGGGGACUGAGACACGGCCCUUACUCCUACGGGAGGCGGCAGUGGGGAAUAUUGGACAAUGGACCAAGAGUCUGAUCCAGCAAUUCUGUGUGCACGAUGAAGUUUUUCGGAAUGUAAAGUGCUUUCAGUUGGGAAGAAAAAAAUGACGGUACCAACAGAAGAAGUGACGGCUAAAUACGU